UGAGUACGAGACGCUAAGGCGUCGAAGUAGUGGAUGUCAUACUUACAAGAAAAGCUUGCACUGUCAUAGAUAAAAAACGCCUGUACCAUAACCGACACAGGUGGGUAGGUAGAGUAUACUAAGGGGCGCGAGAUAACUCUCUCUAAGGAACUCGGCAAAAUGACUCCGUAACUUCGGGAGAAGGAGUGCCUUAUUCGUAAGGCUGCAAUAACAAGAUCCAAGCAACUGUUUAUCAAAAACACAGGUCUCAGCUAAGUCGUAAGACGAUGUAUGGGGGCUGACGCCUGCCCAGUGCCAGAAGGUUAAAGAAGUCGGUUAGCAUUAGCGAAGCUGGUAACUGAAGCCCUGGUGAACGGCGGCCGUAACGAUAACGGUCCUAAGGUAGCGAAAUUCCUUGUCGGGUAAGUUCCGACCCGCACGAAAGGCGUAAUGAUUUGGAUACUGUCUCGGAGAGGGGCUCGGUGAAAUAGACUUGUCUGUGAAGAUGCGGACUACCUGCACCAGGACAGAAAGACCCUAUGAAGCUUUACUGUAACUUGAAAUUGAAAUUGGACUUUAUUCGCGCAGUAUAGGUGGGAGGUGUUGAUUAUAAUCUUGCGGGAUUAUUGGAGCCAUCAGUGAGAUACCACUCUUGUAAUGUUAGAUUUCUAACUUUGAAUCAUUAUCUGGUCAAAGAACAGUUUCAGGCGGGCAGUUUGACUGGGGCGGUCGCCUCCUAAAUGGUAACGGAGGCGUACAAAGGUUUCCUCUGAACGGGUAGAAAUCGUAUCUAGAGUGUAAAGGCAUAAGGAAGCUUGACUGUGAGACCUACAAGUCGAGCAGGGACGAAAGUCGGUCUUAGUGAUCUGACGGUACUGAGUGGAAAGGCCGUCACUCAACGGAUAAAAGUUACUCUAGGGUAACAGGCUGAUCUCCCCCAAGAGUUCACAUCGACGGGGAGGUUUGGCACCUCGAUGUCGGCUCAUCGCAUCCUGGGGCGGUAGUACGUCCCAAGGGUUGGGCUGUUCGCCCAUGAAAGCGGUACGCGAGCUGGGUUCAGAACGUCGUGAGACAGUUCGGUCCAUAUCCGGUGUAGGCGUUAGAAUAUUGAGAGGAGCCUUCUUUAGUACGAGAGGACCGAGAAGGACAUACCUCUGGUGUACCAGUUAUCGUGCCAACGGUAAACGCUGGGUAGCUAUGUAUGGAGUGGAUAACCGCUGAAAGCAUCUAAGUGGGAAGCCCACCUCAAGAUAAGUAUUCUCA
This 1242-nucleotide ribosomal RNA is filed under the name metagenome. RNAcentral describes it as "bacterial LSU rRNA". It matches the Rfam family "Bacterial large subunit ribosomal RNA", at positions 1564 to 2816 of the family's 2925-position model. The record is from RNAcentral.